RNAcentral lists this ribosomal RNA (635 nucleotides) under uncultured bacterium. Its description in RNAcentral is "bacterial SSU rRNA". The stretch from base 1 to 543 matches the Rfam family "Bacterial small subunit ribosomal RNA", at positions 338 to 873 of the family's 1533-position model. The record is from RNAcentral.
CCUACGGGAGGCAGCAGUGGGGAAUUUUGGACAAUGGGCGAAAGCCUGAUCCAGCAAUGCCGCGUGAGUGAAGAAGGCCUUCGGGUUGUAAAGCUCUUUUGUCAGGGAAGAAACGGUGAGAGCUAAUAUCUCUUGCUAAUGACGGUACCUGAAGAAUAAGCACCGGCUAACUACGUGCCAGCAGCCGCGGUAAUACGUAGGGUGCAAGCGUUAAUCGGAAUUACUGGGCGUAAAGCGUGCGCAGGCGGUUUUGUAAGUCUGUCGUGAAAUCCCCGGGCUCAACCUGGGAAUUGCGAUGGAGACUGCAAGGCUAGAAUCUGGCAGAGGGGGGUAGAAUUCCACGUGUAGCAGUGAAAUGCGUAGAGAUGUGGAGGAACACCGAUGGCGAAGGCAGCCCCCUGGGUCAAGAUUGACGCUCAUGCACGAAAGCGUGGGGAGCAAACAGGAUUAGAUACCCUGGUAGUCCACGCCCUAAACGAUGUCUACUAGUUGUCGGGUUUUAAUUAACGUUGGUAACGCAGCUAACGCGUGAAGUAGACCGCCUGGGGAGUACGGUCGCGAAGUUAUUAAAACGUCAAAAGUUAGUAAGUUCCGGAGUUCGAGAGAGACGACGACGACGACGACGGAGGAGGAGG